CGCGAACUGACCAGGACUUUCACAGGACGAUGAUGUGUUACAACAACAAUUUAGGACGCUAAAAGAGUUUUUAUAUGUUUCGGAGUGGAUUCGUCAUUCAGAUGACGUGUGGUAUAUCUAGAAAAUAAUGCAAAAAAAAGUUUCAUUAAAGAAGAAAUCCUUACCGCAAA
Daphnia magna is the source of this 170-nucleotide long non-coding RNA. RefSeq lists it as uncharacterized. The record is from RefSeq and is a predicted model, not a curated record. NCBI's taxonomy places the organism in Eukaryota, Metazoa, Arthropoda, Branchiopoda, Diplostraca, Daphniidae. The transcript is spliced from 2 exons.